RNAcentral lists this transfer RNA (73 nucleotides) under Anaerolineales bacterium HSG24. RNAcentral describes it as "tRNA-Pro". It matches the Rfam family "tRNA". Rfam says of the family: Transfer RNA (tRNA) molecules are approximately 80 nucleotides in length. Lineage: Bacteria; Bacillati; Chloroflexota; Anaerolineae; Anaerolineales. The record is from RNAcentral. RNAcentral also lists the same sequence under 1 other name.
CGGAGUGUAGCGCAGGUGGUAGCGCACUGGCUUUGGGAGCCAGAUGUCGGCGGUUCGAGUCCGUCCACUCCGA